CAGUCGCCGCGGUAAUACGAAGGGGGCUAGCGUUGUUCGGAAUGACUGGGCGUAAAGGGCGCGUAGGCGGUUUAUACAGUCAGAUGUGAAAUUCCUGGGCUCAACCUGGGGACUGCAUUUGAUACGUAUGGACUUGAGUGGAGAAGAGGGUCGUGGAAUUUCCAGUGUAGAGGUGGAAUUCGUAGAUAUUGGAAAGAACACCGGUGGCGAAGGCGGCGACCUGGUCUUUAACUGACGCUGUGGCGCGAAAGCGUGGGGAGCAAACAGGAUUAGAUACCCCUGUAGUCCCUGUCUCUUAUAC
Molecule: ribosomal RNA, 301 nt
Filed under: uncultured bacterium
Lineage: Bacteria
Description: partial 16S ribosomal RNA
Rfam family: Bacterial small subunit ribosomal RNA
Source: RNAcentral